RNAcentral lists this ribosomal RNA (483 nucleotides) under uncultured bacterium. RNAcentral describes it as "partial 16S ribosomal RNA". It matches the Rfam family "Bacterial small subunit ribosomal RNA", at positions 28 to 523 of the family's 1533-position model. The record is from RNAcentral.
GACGAACGCUGGCGGCGUGCUUAACACAUGCAAGUCGAACGAUGAAGCCGGAGCUUGCUCCGGUGGAUUAGUGGCGAACGGGUGAGUAACACGUGAGCAAUCUGCCCUUGACUCUGGGAUAACUGCGGGAAACUGUAGCUAAUACCGGAUACGACACCUUGGGGCAUCCCAGGGUGUGGAAAAAAUUUCGGUCAAGGAUGAGCUCGCGGCCUAUCAGCUAGUUGGUGAGGUAAUGGCUCACAAAGGCGACGACGGGUAGCCGGCCUGAGAGGGUGACCGGCCACACUGGAACUGAGACACGGUCCAGACUCCUACGGGAGGCAGCAGUGGGGAAUAUUGCACAAUGGGCGAAAGCCUGAUGCAGCAACGCCGCGUGAGGGAUGAAGGCCUUCGGGUUGUAAACCUCUUUUAGCAGGGAAGAAGCGAAAGUGACGGUACCUGCAGAAAAAGCACCGGCUAACUACGUGCCAGCCGCCGCUGUAA